RNAcentral lists this transfer RNA (49 nucleotides) under Neobartsia inaequalis. RNAcentral describes it as "partial tRNA-Ser". It matches the Rfam family "tRNA", at positions 1 to 47 of the family's 71-position model. From Rfam's summary of the family: Transfer RNA (tRNA) molecules are approximately 80 nucleotides in length. Their secondary structure includes four short double-helical elements and three loops (D, anti-codon, and T loops). Further hydrogen bonds mediate the characteristic L-shaped molecular structure. tRNAs have two regions of fundamental functional importance: the anti-codon, which is responsible for specific mRNA codon recognition, and the 3' end, to which the tRNAs corresponding amino acid is attached (by aminoacyl-tRNA synthetases). tRNAs cope with the degeneracy of the genetic code in two manners: having more than one tRNA (with a specific anti-codon) for a particular amino acid; and 'wobble' base-pairing, i.e. permitting non-standard base-pairing at the 3rd anti-codon position. The record is from RNAcentral. Lineage: Eukaryota; Viridiplantae; Streptophyta; Magnoliopsida; Lamiales; Orobanchaceae. RNAcentral also lists the same sequence under 10 other names.
GGAGAGAUGGCUGAGUGGUUGAUAGCCCCGGUCUUGAAAACCGGUAUAG